CACGUAGGCACCAAGCGUUGUCCGGAUUUAUUGGGCGUAAAGAGCUCGUAGGCGGUUCAGUAAGUCGGGUGUGAAAACUCUGGGCUCAACCCAGAGACGCCACCCGAUACUGCUGUGACUUGAGUACGGUAGGGGAGUGGGGAAUUCCUGGUGUAGCGGUGAAAUGCGCAGAUAUCAGGAGGAACACCAGUGGCGAAGGCGCCACUCUGGGCCGUAACUGACGCUGAGGAGCGAAAGCCAGGGGAGCAAACGGG
RNAcentral lists this ribosomal RNA (254 nucleotides) under uncultured bacterium. RNAcentral's name for it is "partial 16S ribosomal RNA". It matches the Rfam family "Bacterial small subunit ribosomal RNA", at positions 524 to 776 of the family's 1533-position model. The record is from RNAcentral.